CGAAAUGCGAUAAGUAAUGUGAAUUGCAGAAUUCAGUGAAUCAUCGAAUCUUUGAACGCACCUUGCGCUCCUUGGUAUUCCUUGGAGCAUGCCUGUUUGAGUAUCAUGAAAUCUUCAAAGUAAAUCUUUUGUUAACUCAAUUGGUUUCUACUUUGGUAUUGGAGGUCUUUGCAGCUUCACACCUGCUCCUCUUCGUUCAUUAGCUGGAUCUCAGUGUUAUGCUUGGUUCCACUCGGCGUGAUAAGUUAUCUAUCGCUGAGGACACUGUAAAAGGUGGCCAAGGUAAAUGCAGAUGAACCGCUUCUAAUAGUCCAUUGACUUGGACAAUACUUUUAUGAUCUGAUCUCAAAUCAGGUAGAACUACCCGCUGAACUUAAGC
Molecule: unclassified non-coding RNA, 379 nt
Filed under: plant metagenome
Description: partial contains 5.8S ribosomal RNA, internal transcribed spacer 2, and large subunit ribosomal RNA
Rfam family: 5.8S ribosomal RNA (bases 1-106)
Source: RNAcentral